Molecule: non-coding RNA, 731 nt
Organism: Microcebus murinus (gray mouse lemur)
Lineage: Eukaryota; Metazoa; Chordata; Mammalia; Primates; Cheirogaleidae
Source: RefSeq, a predicted model, not a curated record
AUCCGUACUGAUAUAAAUAAAUGAUUAAGUAAAUAAAUGGGGAAGCAGAGACAGAUCUCCCAUGCAGAAGAAUUCCCAUAAUUUAUGUAGAUAAGGUGCCCUCCUCCAUGGGAUGGGACAGAACUGCCCUCUCCUUAACUGUGGGAUACACAUAGUAACUUACUGCCAAAGAACACAAAAUGGAAAGGAGGGGAAAGAAUCCACUUUCCAUUGGAGACAAACACUACCUCAGCCAGGUGACCCAGGUGCGCAUCAGAAGCAAUAAGGCAUGUUGAUAGCAUGUACCCUUGAUAUGAUGUGCUGAGACUGGCAUUUUAUCUCUCUGCUCUUCCUCCUAAAAACUCAUAUCUCCGGUGUAAUCAUGAGAAAAACAUGAGGUGAAUCCCAGUUGAGAGAUAAUUCUACAAACAACUUGACCAGUACUUCUACACCUGUCAAGGUCAUUACAAAUAAGGAAAGGCUCAGAGUCUGUCACAGCCAAGAGGAGCCUAAGGAGACAUGAAGACUAAAUGCAAUGGAACCAAAAAGUACAGUUAGGUUGAAGAAUAUUUAUGUCCUCUCCAAGAAGAAAACCUAACCCCAGUUUUGUUAUGCUUUCUUCGAAAUCUAUUGUUUGUUUUUGCAUAACCUUUAUGUUCUUCAAGAGACUCAGCUCUUGAUGUUCAACAAUUAUUGUUCAAGAACAAUUAUUCUCUCUGCCAUGGCUUCCAAAAGUGUCUCAAAAUUCAGAA